GACGAACGCUGGCGGCGUGCUUAACACAUGCAAGUCGAGCGGUAAGGCCCUUCGGGGUACACGAGCGGCGAACGGGUGAGUAACACGUGAGCAAUCUGCCCAUCACUUUGGGAUAACUGCGGGAAACCGCAGCUAAUACCGAAUACGACCACCUCCGGCAUCGGAUGGUGGUGGAAAGUUCCGGCGGUGAUGGAUGAGCUCGCGGCCUAUCAGCUUGUUGGUGGGGUAAUGGCCCACCAAGGCAACGACGGGUAGCCGGCCUGAGAGGGUGACCGGCCACACUGGGACUGAGACACGGCCCAGACUCCUACGGGAGGCAGCAGUGGGGAAUAUUGGACAAUGGGCGAAAGCCUGAUCCAGCAACGCCGCGUGAGGGAUGACGGCCUUCGGGUUGUAAACCUCUUUCAGCAGGGACGAAGCGAAAGUGACGGUACCUGCAGAAGAAGCACCGGCCAACUACGUGCCAGCAGCCGCCGUAACAC
This 482-nucleotide ribosomal RNA is filed under the name uncultured bacterium. RNAcentral describes it as "bacterial SSU rRNA". It matches the Rfam family "Bacterial small subunit ribosomal RNA", at positions 28 to 526 of the family's 1533-position model. The record is from RNAcentral.